GGGGAUNCGGAAUUAUACAACUCAUCAACCCUGUGAACAUACCUAAAACGUUGCUUCGGCGGGAACAGACGGCCCCGUAACACGGGCCGCCCCCGCCAGAGGACCCCCUAACUCUGUUUCUAUUAUGUUUCUUCUGAGUAAAACAAGCAAAUAAAUUAAAACUUUCAACAACGGAUCUCUUGGCUCUGGCAUCGAUGAAGAACGCAGCGAAAUGCGAUAAGUAAUGUGAAUUGCAGAAUUCAGUGAAUCAUCGAAUCUUUGAACGCACAUUGCGCCCGCCAGUAUUCUGGCGGGCAUGCCUGUUCGAGCGUCAUUACAACCCUCAGGCCCCCGGGCCUGGCGUUGGGGAUCGGCGAGGCGCCCCCUGCGGGCACACGCCGUCCCCCAAAUACAGUGGCGGUCCCGCCGCAGCUUCCAUUGCGUAGUAGCUAACACCUCGCAACUGGAGAGCGGCGCGGCCACGCCGUAAAACACCCAACUUCUGAAUGUUGACCUCGAAUCAGGUAGGAAUACCCGCUGAACUUAAGCAUAUCAAUAAGCGGAGAAA
RNAcentral lists this ribosomal RNA (547 nucleotides) under Fusarium solani. RNAcentral's name for it is "eukaryotic LSU rRNA". The stretch from base 160 to 313 matches the Rfam family "5.8S ribosomal RNA". The record is from RNAcentral. Lineage: Eukaryota; Fungi; Ascomycota; Sordariomycetes; Hypocreales; Nectriaceae.